AUGAUGGGGGUAUCUGCUGUGGAGAUGAGAGGCUCCCGGGAACCCAGGCUUCCCCAGGAUGUUGCUGACUGCUCCCCACCCACACGAGCGCUGCCAGGUUCCUCACCCCUCCGUGCUCAUCUCCCCUGGAGGGAGGUGGGCAGCCCUUGCCCUGCUGGGCUCUGCGUUGCUGAGGGCAGCUGUGCGAGCAGGCAGCAGGCUGCUCCACAUCACCCAGUGACACGGCUCAGGCAGGCCAGCGUGAGGCAGCUGGUGGCCACUAUCCCUGGUCCAGCAUGGAUGGCUGCUCUGGGGCUGACAGGAGAGACAGGAGGGUCUCCUGGUGCCUGGCAGCUUCAGGCACUCAGUUGGCAGGCAAAAAAGAUGAGAACUUGCCUUGUGGCUUCAAGACAAUCUCCUGGUGGUGCUGGACCUGUCUCUUCCCCUGGGGUGGCUGCUUUCUGGGCAGCAGGAGUGGAGGCAGCUCAGAGGGUGCUGAAGGAUGCAUUUGAAGCAGCCACUGUAACAACACUGGAGCCUGCAAGGGAUGCAGAUGAGCAAGGAGAGAGCAGCAGCGCUCUGCUCCCUCUGUGCCGGGGCGCUCAGGGCACGUCCAGGCUAGCCUUGCCCUUGCUUGGGGACCCAGCCAGGCUCAACCAUUCAGGGUAUGUCCAUCACCACCCCCAGCUCUCAACAAGGCCAGGCAGGCUCUUGCCCUCUCUGCGUCUCUAUCCCAGUGCUCAGGGCAAGAAGCAGAGCUUGGAGUGGAGAAGGGAACAAGGGCAGGUAGGAUGGACACCCCAGCCCCAGGGAGUCCCAGCACCCUGCUCUCAUCACCCUGCAGCCCCUGGUACUCUGGGCCAUGAGUGGUGCACCUUCUGCAAGCCAGCACCAGUGCAGGAGCUGCAGGACUGGGCAGCCAGUGGGUCCAUGCCACCCUGGGCAGGGGUCCCCCCGCUCCUGGCAGGCAGUAGGGCUCUUGAGCUGCCUAGGUCGCUGGCUCAGGAUGCUUUUCAUCCAUCUGCUCUCCUGUCACAUCCCCGUCUCCCUGAUUAUUUUAAUGAGGAUAAUGAUUCACACCUGGGCAAUUCAAACCCGCUAACAAUAACAAUUUUAAUUAGUUUCCACUACAAAUCUGAAACRUCGUCAUUAACAUUUAAAAUGCCUGCGACUAGCAACUCCAUAUAA
Molecule: long non-coding RNA, 1167 nt
Filed under: Apteryx haastii (Great spotted kiwi)
Lineage: Eukaryota; Metazoa; Chordata; Aves; Apterygiformes; Apterygidae
Description: lncRNA (ENSAHAG00000002290.1)
Source: RNAcentral